AGUGAACGCUGGCGGUAGGCCUAACACAUGCAAGUCGAACGGCAGCACAGUAAGAGCUUGCUCUUACGGGUGGCGAGUGGCGGACGGGUGAGGAAUACAUCGGAAUCUACUUUUUCGUGGGGGAUAACGUAGGGAAACUUACGCUAAUACCGCAUACGACCUACGGGUGAAAGCAGGGGAUCUUCGGACCUUGCGCGAUUGAAUGAGCCGAUGCCGGAUUAGCUAGUUGGCGGGGUAAAGGCCCACCAAGGCGACGAUCCGUAGCUGGUCUGAGAGGAUGAUCAGCCACACUGGAACUGAGACACGGUCCAGACUCCUACGGGAGGCAGCAGUGGGGAAUAUUGGACAAUGGGCGCAAGCCUGAUCCAGCCAUACCGCGUGGGUGAAGAAGGCCUUCGGGUUGUAAAGCCCUUUUGCUGGGAAAGAAAAGCAGCAGGUUAAUACCCCGCUGUUCUGACGGUACCCAAAGAAUAAGCACCGGCUAACUUCGUG
This 492-nucleotide ribosomal RNA is filed under the name uncultured bacterium. RNAcentral's name for it is "partial 16S ribosomal RNA". It matches the Rfam family "Bacterial small subunit ribosomal RNA", at positions 29 to 507 of the family's 1533-position model. The record is from RNAcentral.